Molecule: ribosomal RNA, 430 nt
Filed under: Pseudomonadota bacterium
Lineage: Bacteria; Pseudomonadati; Pseudomonadota
Description: Proteobacteria bacterium partial 16S ribosomal RNA
Rfam family: Bacterial small subunit ribosomal RNA
Source: RNAcentral
UGGGGAAUAUUGGACAAUGGGGGGAACCCUGAUCCAGCCAUGCCGCGUGUGUGAAGAAGGCCUUAUGGUUGUAAAGCACUUUAAGCGAGGAGGAGGGUACUGGUAUUAAUACUACCAGGUACUGGACGUUACUCGCAGACUAAGCACCGGCUAACUCUGUGCCAGCAGCCGCGGUAAUACAGAGGGUGCGAGCGUUAAUCGGAUUUACUGGGCGUAAAGCGUGCGUAGGCGGCUAAUUGAGUCGGAUGUGAAAUCCCCGAGCUUAACUUGGGAAUUGCAUUCGAUACUGGUUAGCUAGAGUGUGGGAGAGGAUGGUAGAAUUCCAGGUGUAGCGGUGAAAUGCGUAGAGAUCUGGAGGAAUACCGAUGGCGAAGGCAGCCAUCUGGCCUAACACUGACGCUGAGGUACGAAAGCAUGGGGAGCAAACAGG